Molecule: ribosomal RNA, 639 nt
Filed under: uncultured Rhodocyclaceae bacterium
Lineage: Bacteria; Pseudomonadati; Pseudomonadota; Betaproteobacteria; Rhodocyclales; Rhodocyclaceae
Description: bacterial SSU rRNA
Rfam family: Bacterial small subunit ribosomal RNA
Source: RNAcentral
AAACUUAAAUGAAUUGACGGGGACCCGCACAAGCGGUGGAUGAUGUGGAUUAAUUCGAUGCAACGCGAAAACCUUACCUACCCUUGACAUGUCCAGGAGCCUGAAGAGAUUUGGGUGUGCCCGAAAGGGAACUGGAACACAGGUGCUGCAUGGCUGUCGUCAGCUCGUGUCGUGAGAUGUUGGGUUAAGUCCCGCAACGAGCGCAACCCUUGUCGUUAAUUGCCAUCAUUUAGUUGGGCACUUUAACGAGACUGCCGGUGACAAACCGGAGGAAGGUGGGGAUGACGUCAAGUCCUCAUGGCCCUUAUGGGUAGGGCUUCACACGUCAUACAAUGGUCGGUACAAAGGGUUGCCAAGCCGCGAGGUGGAGCCAAUCCCAGAAAGCCGAUCGUAGUCCGGAUUGCAGGCUGCAACUCGCCUGCAUGAAGUCGGAAUCGCUAGUAAUCGUGGAUCAGCAUGUCACGGUGAAUACGUUCCCGGGUCUUGUACACACCGCCCGUCACACCAUGGGAGCGGGUUCCGCCAGAAGUAGGUAGCCUAACCGCAAGGAGGGCGCUUACCACGGCGGGGUUCGUGACUGGGGUGAAGUCGUAACAAGGUAGCCGUAGGGGAACCUGCGGCUGGAUCACCUCCUUUAUG